This 464-nucleotide ribosomal RNA is filed under the name Vreelandella stevensii. RNAcentral's name for it is "partial 16S ribosomal RNA". It matches the Rfam family "Bacterial small subunit ribosomal RNA", at positions 338 to 795 of the family's 1533-position model. Lineage: Bacteria; Pseudomonadati; Pseudomonadota; Gammaproteobacteria; Oceanospirillales; Halomonadaceae. The record is from RNAcentral.
CCUACGGGGGGCUGCAGUGGGGAAUAUUGGACAAUGGGGGAACCCUGAUCCAGCCAUGCCGCGUGUGUGAAGAAGGCCCUCGGGUUGUAAAGCACUUUCAGUGAGGAAGAACGCCUGGUGGUUAAUACCCAUCAGGAAAGACAUCACUCACAGAAGAAGCACCGGCUAACUCCGUGCCAGCAGCCGCGGUAAUACGGAGGGUGCGAGCGUUAAUCGGAAUUACUGGGCGUAAAGCGCGCGUAGGUGGCUUGAUAAGCCGGUUGUGAAAGCCCCGGGCUCAACCUGGGAACGGCAUCCGGAACUGUCAAGCUAGAGUGCAGGAGAGGAAGGUAGAAUUCCCGGUGUAGCGGUGAAAUGCGUAGAGAUCGGGAGGAAUACCAGUGGCGAAGGCGGCCUUCUGGACUGACACUGACACUGAGGUGCGAAAGCGUGGGUAGCAAACAGGAUUAGAUACCCGUGUAGUC